GAUGAAGAACGUAGCGAAAUGCGAUAAGUAAUGUGAAUUGCAGAAUUCAGUGAAUCAUCGAAUCUUUGAACGCACAUUGCGCCCGCUAGUAUUCUGGCGGGCAUGCCUGUCCGAGCGUCAUUUCAACCCUCAAGCCCCCGGGCUUGGUGUUGGGGAUCGGCGAGCCUCCGCGCCCGCCGUCCCCUAAAUCUAGUGGCGGUCUCGCUGUAGCUUCCUCUGCGUAGUAGCACACCUCGCACUGGGAAACAGCGCGGCCACGCCGUUAAACCCCCAACUUCUGAACGUUUGACCUCGGAUCAGGUAUGAAUACCCGCUGAACUUAAGCAUAUCAAUAAGCGGAGGA
Molecule: unclassified non-coding RNA, 343 nt
Filed under: soil metagenome
Description: partial contains 5.8S ribosomal RNA, internal transcribed spacer 2, and large subunit ribosomal RNA
Rfam family: 5.8S ribosomal RNA (bases 1-120)
Source: RNAcentral